Long non-coding RNA from Ipomoea nil (Japanese morning glory), 181 nucleotides. RefSeq lists it as uncharacterized. NCBI's taxonomy places the organism in Eukaryota, Viridiplantae, Streptophyta, Magnoliopsida, Solanales, Convolvulaceae. The record is from RefSeq and is a predicted model, not a curated record. The transcript is spliced from 3 exons.
GUAUGAAAUGCUUCAUUUACCAGUUGGCAUCAAGAUUCAAUUCACAAUAAAGCCAGCAUAAUCCUGAGAGCAAACAACAGUCUUGCCAAACCUUUCUGCCAAGCUCUUUGUUACAUUAUACGUCUCAUCUGAUUUAUCUGCACCCCUGAUAAUUUAAACCAGUUUCAUAAUCGGAGGAGGA